RNAcentral lists this transfer RNA (58 nucleotides) under Sphaerirostris picae. RNAcentral describes it as "tRNA-Lys". The record is from RNAcentral. Lineage: Eukaryota; Metazoa; Acanthocephala; Palaeacanthocephala; Polymorphida; Centrorhynchidae.
GGUUUGUUGAGCUGUGUAGUAUCAAUUUUUUGAGUUGGGGGGAGAUGCAGAUGGUCUU